Ixodes scapularis (black-legged tick) is the source of this 73-nucleotide non-coding RNA. NCBI's taxonomy places the organism in Eukaryota, Metazoa, Arthropoda, Arachnida, Ixodida, Ixodidae. The record is from Rfam.
GGCGGUGUGGUGCAGUGGUUAGCAUACCUGACCGGUAAUUAUGAGGCUACAGGUUCGAAUCAUGACGCCCUCU